This 276-nucleotide ribosomal RNA is filed under the name Pseudo-nitzschia hasleana. RNAcentral's name for it is "partial 28S ribosomal RNA". It matches the Rfam family "Eukaryotic large subunit ribosomal RNA", at positions 43 to 330 of the family's 3401-position model. The record is from RNAcentral. Lineage: Eukaryota; Bacillariophyta; Bacillariophyceae; Bacillariales; Bacillariaceae.
UAAUUAAGCGGAGGAAAAGAAACUAACUAGGAUUCCCUCAGUAACGGCGAGUGAAGCGGGAAGAGCUCAGGAUGUGAAUCUGCGCUAUUAAAGCGCCGAAUUGUGGUCUGAAGACUUUGGUGUUAUCUGCCGGGCCAAGUUCCUUGGAAAAGGACAGCUGAGAGGGUGAGACUCCCGUCCGCCUGGUAGAGUGAGCCAUUUGUCAACGAGUAGAGUUGUUUGGGAUUGCAGCUCUAAUUUGGUGGUAAAUUCCAUCUAAAGCUAAAUAUUGGUGGG